CGCUGGCGGCGUGCCUAAUACAUGCAAGUCGAACGAAGAGUAUAGCUUGCUAUCUCUUAGUGGCGAACGGGUGAGUAAUACAUAAACAAUCUGCCCAUACGACUGGGAUAACCGUUGGAAAACGAUGGCUAAUACCGGAUAGGUGAGAAGGAGGCAUCUUCUUCUUAUUAAAGUUGGGAUACAACACGUGUGGAUGAGUUUAUGGCGCAUUAGCUAGUUGGCGGGGUAACGGCCCACCAAGGCGAUGAUGCGUAGCCGACCUGAGAGGGUGACCGGCCACACUGGGACUGAGACACGGCCCAGACUCCUACGGGAGGCAGCAGUAGGGAAUUUUCGGCAAUGGGGGAAACCCUGACCGAGCAACGCCGCGUGAGUGAUGAAGGCCUUCGGGUUGUAAAGCUCUGUUGUAAGGGAAGAACGGCGAUGAUAGGGAAUGAUCAUCGAGUGACGGUACCUUACCAGAAAGCCACGGCUAACUACGUGCCAGCAGCCGCGGUAAUACGUAGGUGGCAAGCGUUAUCCGGAAUUAUUGGGCGUAAAGGGUGCGUAGGCGGCCAUUUAAGUCUAAGGUGAAAGUUCGAGGCUCAACUUCGAAUUGCCUUAGAAACUGGGUGGCUAGAGUGCAGGAGAGGGCAAUGGAAUUCCAUGUGUAGCGGUAAAAUGCGUAGAUAUAUGGAGGAACACCAGUGGCGAAGGCGGUUGCCUGGCCUGUAACUGACGCUGAAGCACGAAAGCGUGGGGAGCAAAUAGGAUUAGAUACCCUAGUAGUCCACGCCGUAAACGAUGAUUACUAAGUGUUGGGGAAACUCAGUGCUGCAGUUAACGCAAUAAGUAAUCCGCCUGGGGAGUAUGCA
Molecule: ribosomal RNA, 854 nt
Filed under: uncultured bacterium
Lineage: Bacteria
Description: bacterial SSU rRNA
Rfam family: Bacterial small subunit ribosomal RNA
Source: RNAcentral